RNAcentral lists this long non-coding RNA (456 nucleotides) under Brachypodium distachyon (stiff brome). Its description in RNAcentral is "long non-coding RNA (BDIS_LNC006000)". The record is from RNAcentral. Lineage: Eukaryota; Viridiplantae; Streptophyta; Magnoliopsida; Poales; Poaceae.
GGGGUGUGACGUCCGGGUGGAUUUUUUUUUUCUUCGCAUACGAUGGUCGACUGAGACACAACAAGUCUCAGUCGACUGUCUAAGUUCAACUAUUACAAGGUUUAAAACAUGGCCGUAUCAACGAUAAUGAAAGAAGGAGAUUGCACCGAAGGCACAUUCGACUACACCAACAUUAGUUUUCUCCAGUCAGAUGUCGAAUCUCUCUUCCACAUCUUAUAGUUAGAACAUGGAAUCGAUAGAUGUAGCCAUGUAGGCUAGCUACAAAUCCAUACGAAUGUAGGCUACAACAAAUGCCUCAGUAAUAUUCCUUAAAAAAAAAAACCCUCAGUAAUAAUGAGUUGGUUUGGCCCUAAACUCGAACUCACAUCAGUGUAUGCAUGUCUGCAUGUCUGUCUGAACGAGAUAUAUCAUUUGUGCCUUCCUGCCUCCGGAAACGCAAUUCAGGUGCAGAAAGAA